UUGCAUCAAGUGCUCUAGUCUUUAUAACGCUAGAGUAGUAAUUAAUAGAUUAGACGUGGUGUUUAGUCUUGCAAUUACCUGGAAUUGCACCCAAUCCUGCGGAUUGUUGUGGUAGCCUUAGGGUAGUGACAGCCCUAACGGUCGACGUAUUCCACCACGUUCGGAUCGGUGUUUGUAGGACCGUAGUCAGACCUUCCUAGCCCCCUUCUCAUCUCUUUCUGUGGUUAGUGCUCUGAUGUCCCGAUAUAAAUAAUCUUUGAAGUAAUUCUUGAUUCUUAGAUCAACUAGAGAACUCUGAGGAAACUUCCUCUCUUCCCACCAAAAAUAAUUAUAUAGUUAUCCUUGGGCGAUCUUGGGUCUUAAUUAGUACACUCACGUUCUCUGUGGAAAAUCGAUACUCUGGAAUACUCCCGGGUGAAGGCUACAUCGGUAUCCGUGCGCUUGCGGAUUUUUUCUGUUUGCGUUUAAAAUACCCAACAAGCUUUCUGGCGCCGUUGCCGGGGAACGGUAGCUAUGCUAGUUUCGAACCAAGUCGUCCGUGUAUCCUUUUUCUUUUCUUUUUUUUUACCACACUCAUCUUACCAUUUUCACCACACCACAUGGAUUUUACUCUAAGCAUUAAUGAGCAUGGAAUUUAUUUCAUAGCCACUUCAUUUACUCCAUGCUCAUAUGCAACAUCUUCACAAUCCAUUGGUCUUUCCAACAUCACCACAUUCGAGAUCUCCAACCCCCUCAUCCUUUCUAUUUAUAAAAACUUUAAAAGGGCGGUUGUCGAUGCAUAUGUCUAUAUUAAAUAUUGCAGAUCUCGUUGAGUUGAUCUUGAUAUUGGUCAGCGUUGGAGGGGAAACCACUUCGCCGACAUAAAUUGAUGGUUUCCCAAGGACAAGCUUAGUGUCCUAAAACAAGCACUGAUUAGAUCGUAACAUGAGCUUUUAAUUAUUUGCAACAUUGCCUUGUGUAUUGAGCAUAUAAGGAUAAUUGUAAAAAAAAAAUUUCGGGUAUUCUUGUCACUAACCUUUCCAGGAUUGGAGCA
This 1033-nucleotide long non-coding RNA is filed under the name Sorghum bicolor (sorghum). Its description in RNAcentral is "long non-coding RNA (SBIC_LNC000587)". Lineage: Eukaryota; Viridiplantae; Streptophyta; Magnoliopsida; Poales; Poaceae. The record is from RNAcentral.